Molecule: transfer-messenger RNA, 361 nt
Filed under: bacterium
Lineage: Bacteria
Description: partial transfer-messenger RNA
Rfam family: transfer-messenger RNA
About the family: Bacterial tmRNA, also known as 10Sa RNA or SsrA, is named for its dual tRNA and mRNA-like properties. Its role is to liberate the mRNA from a stalled ribosome. To accomplish this part of the tmRNA is used as a reading frame that ends in a translation stop signal.
Source: RNAcentral
GGAUUUGAUAGAAGGAUCCCGUGUGUAUAGAUAGCCACUCCUCGAGGAUUCCUAGAGGUUAAUCAUGGAUCAAAAAAACAAUGCUAACAAUAGCGCAAAGUCUCUUCUUGCAAGAGCUGGAUUAGUUAAAGCUUACGCUUACUGCUAAUUCAUUAACCUUCAUUUUGACUCCUGCUAGAAUGAAGGUCGACCUAUAGCAGGAACCUCAUAGUUGGAUUAAUGAAAAGUGGAUAAGUUUGAUUCUUUUCUUUCACUAUCCUAUCAAUCUAACUUAAAAAAUUUGGAUGAAAAGAAAUCUAUAGUGGUAGAGGUUUAUAUGCAUGCCUUUUAGACUUGGGUUCGACACCCAACACCUCCAGAA